GGUAAAAUUGCACUUAGUUUAAUUCUAGAUAAUAUUUUUCUUAACUUAUUAUAAGUUUAGAUAUUAGAUAGAUUGCAUUUUAGGAUUAUUUGGGUUAAGAUAAUAUUUUAGUUUAAAUUAGGAUUUGGUUCAACCUAAUUCCUGAUACAAAUUGAAUAUAAUCUUAAUCUAGUUAGAUAAUUUUCACAUUUUAUUUAAUCCCGAAUUUCAUAAAAAAUACAAAAAAAUGUCAUAAGUUGAACUAGUUUUAGGAUAAAAUGCAUUCUUUUAGGAAAAAUGAAAAAAUGUCAUACGGACGUCAUUAGGGUUAGAUUUAUUGAGAUUCAUGCCAUUUAGUAUUUUUGCUAGGCCCAUUUAAUUAGAAAUUACAUGUCAUUAAAAUUAGGUCAUUUAGUUAAUAUCGCAUUGCAUAUUGCAUGAUUUUCAUUAAUUAAGUGAAAAAAAAAAGAAAUUGCGUAUUAAUUAGAAACCAUAUCUAGGGUUGUUGAUGUAGAUUUUAAUUUAACAUCACAGAUGCUGAAGUUCUGUUCGAAGAUGACGAUGCUGAUAUCUCCUACUUUUGGGUUCCCA
RNAcentral lists this long non-coding RNA (570 nucleotides) under Eucalyptus grandis. RNAcentral describes it as "long non-coding RNA (EGRA_LNC002041)". Lineage: Eukaryota; Viridiplantae; Streptophyta; Magnoliopsida; Myrtales; Myrtaceae. The record is from RNAcentral.